AGGGAUCAUUACCGAGUUCAUGCCCUUACGGGUAGAUCUCCCACCCUAUGUUAUAUUACCUUUGUUGCUUUGGCAGGCCGUCAGGCUUCGGUCGGGCUACCGGCUCCGGCUGGUAAGCGCCUGCCAGAGGACCCUAAACUCUGAAUAUUAGUGUUGUCUGAGUACUAUAAAAUAGUUAAAACUUUCAACAACGGAUCUCUUGGUUCUGGCAUCGAUGAAGAACGCAGCGAAAUGCGAUAAGUAAUGUGAAUUGCAGAAUUCAGUGAAUCAUCGAAUCUUUGAACGCACAUUGCGCCCCUUGGCAUUCCGAGGGGCAUGCCUGUUCGAGCGUCAUUACAACCCUCAAGCACUGCUUGGUAUUGGGCUCCGCUGGUUUCAGCGGGCCUUAAAAUCAGUGGCAGCGCCGUCUGAGCUCUGAGCGUAGUAAAUAUCCUCGCUAUAGAGACCAGGUGGCUCUUGUCAUCAACCCUAAACUUUCUAAGUUUGACCUCGGAUCAGGUAGGGAUACCCGCUGAACUUAA
Molecule: unclassified non-coding RNA, 521 nt
Filed under: Helotiales sp. 3 KO-2013
Lineage: Eukaryota; Fungi; Ascomycota; Leotiomycetes; Helotiales
Description: partial contains ITS1, 5.8S rRNA and ITS2
Rfam family: 5.8S ribosomal RNA (bases 180-333)
Source: RNAcentral